This 427-nucleotide ribosomal RNA is filed under the name uncultured bacterium. RNAcentral's name for it is "partial 16S ribosomal RNA". It matches the Rfam family "Bacterial small subunit ribosomal RNA", at positions 355 to 774 of the family's 1533-position model. The record is from RNAcentral.
UGGGGAAUAUUGGACAAUGGGCGAAAGCCUGAUCCAGCCAUGCCGCGUGUGUGAAGAAGGUCUUCGGAUUGUAAAGCACUUUAAGUUGGGAGGAAGGGCAUUAACCUAAUACGUUAGUGUUUUGACGUUACCGACAGAAUAAGCACCGGCUAACUCUGUGCCAGCAGCCGCGGUAAUACAGAGGGUGCAAGCGUUAAUCGGAAUUACUGGGCGUAAAGCGCGCGUAGGUGGUUUGUUAAGUUGGAUGUGAAAUCCCCGGGCUCAACCUGGGAACUGCAUUCAAAACUGACUGACUAGAGUAUGGUAGAGGGUGGUGGAAUUUCCUGUGUAGCGGUGAAAUGCGUAGAUAUAGGAAGGAACACCAGUGGCGAAGGCGACCACCUGGACUAAUACUGACACUGAGGUGCGAAAGCGUGGGGAGCCAACA